GAUGAACGCUAGCGGCAGGCCUAAUACAUGCAAGUCGAACGGGAUCUGAGGGUAGCUUGCUACCCGAUUUGAGAGUGGCGCACGGGUGCGUAACGCGUGAGCAACCUACCCAUAUCAGGGGGAUAGCCCGAAGAAAUUCGGAUUAACACCGCAUAAUAAUACGCUAACACAUGUUGAUGUAUUUAAAUAUUUAUAGGAUAUGGAUGGGCUCGCGUGACAUUAGCUAGUUGGUAAGGUAACGGCUUACCAAGGCGACGAUGUCUAGGGGCUCUGAGGUGAGAAUCCCCCACACUGGGACUGAGACACGGACCAGACUCCUGCGGGAGGCAGCAGUAAGGAAUAGUGGUCAAUGGGCGCAAGCCUGAACCAGCCAUGCCGCGUGCAGGAUGACUGCCCUAUGGGUUGUAAACUGCUUUUGUUAGGGAAUAAACCUACUUAUGUAUAAGUAGCUGAAUGUACCUAAAGAAUAAGGAUCGGCUAACUCCGUGCCAGCCGCCGCGGUAA
This 504-nucleotide ribosomal RNA is filed under the name uncultured bacterium. RNAcentral's name for it is "partial 16S ribosomal RNA". It matches the Rfam family "Bacterial small subunit ribosomal RNA", at positions 28 to 523 of the family's 1533-position model. The record is from RNAcentral.